Non-coding RNA from Paramisgurnus dabryanus, 436 nucleotides. Lineage: Eukaryota; Metazoa; Chordata; Actinopteri; Cypriniformes; Cobitidae. The record is from RefSeq and is a predicted model, not a curated record.
UGCUGGGAGUGAAGGCAGUGCGUAUGAUCACUUGAUAUGAGAGACACAUCCUGUUUUUAAAGGUGGAUCAUGAGUUAAGCUCUGCAGGUCGGCCAUUGACUUGAUAACAGUUGUUUAUGUUUAUUCAAUUUAUGAAUAAAUCUCUCGCCAACCAUUCACCUAUUUACUGACAAAACGGAUCCAAAUCUUGUAUGAUGAUGACCACUGCAAGGUGAGGGGAAUCUGUGAUUAGAGUGUAUAGACAUAAAAUGAAAGAUGCUGUUUGACUUAUAGGCAUAAGGUGAGGGGAAUCUGUGAUUAUCACAGCCUGCGUCUUAAGAUCAACAUAACAACAGCAGACCAUCUCUUAUCUUACUCUUAUCUGACUAAAUGUUCAACUUCAUUGCCACAAAACAAAGAACAUUGGAUGAAGUAUGUACUGUACAAUGAUCCAGCA